GAUGAAGAACGCAGCGAAAUGCGAUAAGUAAUGUGAAUUGCAGAAUUCAGUGAAUCAUCGAGUCUUUGAACGCACAUUGCGCCCCCUGGUAUUCCGGGGGGCAUGCCUGUCCGAGCGUCAUUGCCGCCCUCAAGCACGGCUUGUGUGUUGGGCCCCCGUCCCCGGUUCUCCCCGGGGACGGGCCCGAAAGGCAGCGGCGGCACCGCGUCCGAUCCUCGAGCGUAUGGGGCUUUGUCACCCGCUCUGUAGGCCCGGCCGGCGCCAGCCGACACCCCAACUUUAUUUUCUAAGGUUGACCUCGGAUCAGGUAGGGAUACCCGCUGAACUUAAGCAUAUCAAUAAGCGGAGGA
This 350-nucleotide unclassified non-coding RNA is filed under the name soil metagenome. RNAcentral's name for it is "partial contains 5.8S ribosomal RNA, internal transcribed spacer 2, and large subunit ribosomal RNA". The stretch from base 1 to 120 matches the Rfam family "5.8S ribosomal RNA", at positions 35 to 154 of the family's 154-position model. The record is from RNAcentral.